GGAAAGUUACCCAAGCUUGGCUGAAGGGGACGGUCUCGAAAACCGUUAGGUCGGGAAACCGGCGCAAGGGUUCGAAUCCCUUACUUUCCA
RNAcentral lists this transfer RNA (90 nucleotides) under Vagococcus elongatus. It matches the Rfam family "tRNA". From Rfam's summary of the family: Transfer RNA (tRNA) molecules are approximately 80 nucleotides in length. Their secondary structure includes four short double-helical elements and three loops (D, anti-codon, and T loops). Lineage: Bacteria; Bacillati; Bacillota; Bacilli; Lactobacillales; Enterococcaceae. The record is from Rfam by way of RNAcentral.